This 420-nucleotide ribosomal RNA is filed under the name uncultured bacterium. Its description in RNAcentral is "bacterial SSU rRNA". It matches the Rfam family "Bacterial small subunit ribosomal RNA", at positions 355 to 772 of the family's 1533-position model. The record is from RNAcentral.
UGAGGAAUAUUGGGCAAUGCCCGCAAGGGUGACCCAGCAACGCCGCGUGGAGGAUGAAUGUCGUAAGAUUGUAAACUCCUGUUAGAGGGGAAGAAUAGUACCGGUUGGACCGGUAUAUGACUGUACCCUCAGAGAAAGCCCCGGCUAACUACGUGCCAGCAGCCGCGGUAAUACGUAGGGGGCAAGCGUUGUCCGGAUUUACUGGGUGUAAAGGGCGCGCAGGCGGGAUAAAAAGUCAGUGGUGAAAUCCUACAGCUUAACUGUAGAACUGCCUUUGAUACUUUUAUUCGUGAGUUCGGGAGAGAGAGACGGAAUUCCAGGUGUAGUGGUGAAAUACGUAGAUAUCUGGAAGAACACCAGUUGCGAAGGCGGUCUCUUGGUCCGAUACUGACGCUGAGGCGCGAAAGCGUGGGGAGCAAA